UUUACCUAAGACACUUCUGAACUUCUCUCUCGGGUUAUGAGAAAAAAGACACUAGCAUGCUUUGUCUGUUUGCUGAUAGAAACUGACACUUUCUGGCUUCUUUCCAUGAUCAAUUGACACUUUCAUUUCCAUUGGAAAAAAGGAAAUGUCAGUUUCCAAGAUGAAAAGUUUCCCUCAGACAAUAUAUUUAAACAGUCAUUAUCAGUAUUACUCUUGGAAAAUGUUGCAGAGAAAGUGUCAAAAAAAAUAUCUUUUCCCUACACAGCACUAAUGGAAAAUUAAAAAACAAUAGCAAAAGCUAUAUAUAUCUAUCUAU
Molecule: long non-coding RNA, 316 nt
Filed under: Bos taurus (domestic cattle)
Lineage: Eukaryota; Metazoa; Chordata; Mammalia; Artiodactyla; Bovidae
Description: long non-coding RNA NONBTAT025106
Source: RNAcentral